UUGCCAUCUAAAGAAAUUGAUUGCUGGAUGCC
RNAcentral lists this non-coding RNA (32 nucleotides) under Homo sapiens (human). The record is from RNAcentral. Lineage: Eukaryota; Metazoa; Chordata; Mammalia; Primates; Hominidae.